CUGCUAUGAUGAAGAGAAUUUCCUGACCUGGUAUCACCUGAAGUGCUACAACAUUGUAACAUGAUCGGUGUUGACCAGGGUAUGACCUGUAUAAAUCUUCUCUCUGAGCAG
This is a small nucleolar RNA of Pecten maximus, 111 nucleotides long. RefSeq annotates it as Z30 small nucleolar RNA. NCBI's taxonomy places the organism in Eukaryota, Metazoa, Mollusca, Bivalvia, Pectinida, Pectinidae. The record is from RefSeq and is a predicted model, not a curated record. The transcript has a single exon.